AUAUAUCUACUUAAACUGAAUUCAUGAUAAAUGGACUUUCAAAAUAAGCAUGUGCCUUUCCUCUCUGUACUCAAGCUCAGGGUAGCACAGGGAAGGGAUACCUGGGACAGGCAAGAUCUAAGCAUGUCCUGUUAGGUCAUGUCAUUUAUCCAGAAUGUGUUCAUGCUUCUUUGUUGCUAUCAUUAAUUUUCUGAUUUACUUAACUACAUUGGUAUCUUUAUGAACUUGCCUAUUUUAGAAACAUAAGGAUCCGAAGUCCUGCCAGGUGGUGAGGAGAGGACCCUGGGCCUCCCUGUGACACUUGUGCACUCUGUCUCACAGGCUCUCCAGCAAAGCGAGGCACCAGCUGUACAGACUCAGGUCUCCUGGUGGACGAAUGGAAAGAGUGACGGUGAAGGACUCAACCCUCUGAUGGAGGAGAAGAUAUCAUGAUUUUGACUUAUGCUCUGAUCUAUGACCAAGGCAGCGUUGUACCAAACCCAACAUUCUUGUCUUCAAGAAAUAUCCAGACCUCGUCCCUGAUCAUUCUUAACCUCUUCCUUGCUGUUCUCCUUCACAUGCUGAGUCCUAUUCAUUCAGGUAUUUGUACCCAAAUGUCCUUCACUGGAAAUGCGCCCACUGGAGUCCAAUCA
Nannospalax galili (Upper Galilee mountains blind mole rat) is the source of this 632-nucleotide long non-coding RNA. RefSeq lists it as uncharacterized. NCBI's taxonomy places the organism in Eukaryota, Metazoa, Chordata, Mammalia, Rodentia, Spalacidae. The transcript has 3 exons. The record is from RefSeq and is a predicted model, not a curated record.